UAACACGUGGGUGACCUGCCCUAGAGUGGGGAAUAACGUUGGGAAACCAGCGCUAAUACCGCAUACGCUCCGGCCUUCAUAGGCCGGAGGAAAGCUUGAUGCGCUCAAGGAGGGGCCCGCGGCGGAUUAGCCAGGCGGUGGGGUAACGGCCUACCGCGGCGACGAUCCGUAGCUGGUCUGAGAGGACGGCCAGCCACACUGGGACUGAGACACGGCCCAGACUCCUACGGGAGGCAGCAGUAAGGGAUCUUCCGCAAUGGGCGCAAGCCUGACGGAGCGACGCCGCGUGGACGAAGACGCCUUUCGGGGUGUAAAGUCCUUUUCGGGGGGAGGAGAUGGACCGUACCCCCGGAAUAAGCCUCGGCUACCACGUGCCAGCAGCCGCGGUAAUACGUAGGAGGCGAGCGUUGUCCGGAAUUACUGGGUGUAAAGCGCGUGUAGGCGGUGGGUUAAGUCUGUUGUGAAAGCGCCCGGCUCAACCGGGCAGAGUCAAUGGAAACUAGCUCACUGGAGGUCGGUAGAGGCGAGUGGAAUUCCCGGUGUAGUGGUGAAAUGCGUAGAGAUCGGGAGGAACACCAGUGGCGAAGGCGGCUCGCUGGGCCGGACCUGACGCUGAGACGCGAAGGCGUGGGGAGCGAACGGGAUUAGAUACCCCGGUAGUCCACGCAGUAAACGAUGCACACUAGGUGUGGGGGGUAUCGAGCCCCUCCGUGCCGCAGCUAACGCAGUAAGUGUGCCACCUGGGGAGUACGGCCGCAAGGUUAAAACUCAAAGGAAUUGACGGAAUCGAAUU
This 793-nucleotide ribosomal RNA is filed under the name uncultured bacterium. RNAcentral's name for it is "bacterial SSU rRNA". It matches the Rfam family "Bacterial small subunit ribosomal RNA", at positions 111 to 925 of the family's 1533-position model. The record is from RNAcentral.